RNAcentral lists this small RNA (2490 nucleotides) under Pan troglodytes (chimpanzee). RNAcentral describes it as "retained intron". The record is from RNAcentral. Lineage: Eukaryota; Metazoa; Chordata; Mammalia; Primates; Hominidae.
UCUCUGAAAACCUUCACCACCCUUAUGUAGAUAUCAUCAGCCCCAUUUUACAAAGGAGGCAUCAGUCGCUCACCCAGUGACAGCUGGGAGAUGAAACCAGGUCUCCUUGGCUCAGAACCUGUUCACUCUCACUCUUAUACUAGUCACAGGCAGAUGCCCCUUUUCUGUGAAUCAGGGGCAGGCCGUGGGGAGGCCUGCUUAUGGGGUGCGUUGGGGCUCUCUGUAGGGAAUGCCGUCUCCCUCCCUCCCUUGUAUUUCCGCUGGCUUCUUCCUCUGGCAUCACAUUCCCAGGAGAUUUCAGGUCAGAGAGGAAAUGCCUCUGUGGAUGUACUGGCCAUGCAUUGCUCUGGCCCCGGCACUGCAUGAGGAAGUGGCUGCCGGGUGUCCUCCAGACCCCUCCCAGGAAGGGGCCUCAUUCGGUUUCUUGGGAACUGCCUGUCUUUUGUUGUGAAUGGACCACAUUGUGACCGGCCUGUGGGUCUUGUCAGGGGUUUGGGGCCUUGUGAGGGGUUUGGGGCCCUCUGAGCUGAAAUGCUUCCUGUGGGUAGAGAGUUGCAGGAGACCUCGAGGCCCAGCUGCCCUCUCCCCCAGUCCAUCCCAGCUGAGAGGCGAGGAUGCAAUGCAGUGUGUUCAGCCCUCCAGGCUCAAGGUGUGAGGUUGUGCGGACCGUAAGGCAGUCCCCGUGCCUCUAGCCUUCGGUGAUGCUACCUGUCCAGCACUUCUGGGAGUGGAAGGAGGACCAUGGAUGGCUGCCUGGUAGUGUCGGUUCCCUGGCCUCCCCAUCCCACCUCGUGUCCAUGGCUCCUUCUCCUACAUCAGUGAGCUCGGAGACCAUUCUGACUGUGAGGAGGAAGGGGCAGUAGUAUGUCCUCAGCCACUCCCCUCUCUGGUUUCCUAGCAGGUCUCUCCCCCAGAUGUAGGGCAGAGUUCACUGUCCUGUAUGAGUUCAUGUUUGCAAAGGGCCCUGAGAGCUGGGGGAAGUAGAGGAGAGCUGGGGGUACUGGGGUUUGAGGCCUGUGAGCUCAGGGUCCUUCUCAGCCCAACCUCCUGCAGCCUCCUAACCUCAGACAGGCCUCCAGGACCAUCUCUGUAAAGUGAUGUCCUUGGGUCAACACAGGCCUGGGAAAGGUCCUCUGCAGACUGUUGACAGCAGCUGAUCCAAGGGUGACACAAGGGCUGGGAGCCCUGGGUAGCCCUGAAAGGUCUUGGUGAGGUCACUGUCUCUGUGUCUCUACAUAGCUUUCGUUUCUGCUUUGCCAUGCGGGGCCUGUGUCAGCAGAGACUGCUGAUAAACCGGCAUCUGCAGCGGCUCCAGGCGGGCAGAGGUGCUGAGCCCACUGCUGAUGAGAAUCCCAGCGCGGCGGGAAACGUGCACACAUGAGCUGCUAGAGGCAAAGGCUCUCACUGCCCUGGUGGGUAGCUGGCCCCUCCACAGAAGGAAACCGCGGUGCCCUCAGCCUCCUACCUCUCUUUGCCCCAUAGUCCUGAAUAGAGUGAAAUAGGAUCCAUGGAGGCAGCUCUUCCCCUGAGUCCUGUGAGCGGUGGAGGGGGUCACUGCUAUAGAGGGCAGACACAGCCUGGGUCUGUGAAGCCUCCGCAGAGCAUGUGCACUAUGCUGACCAGGAAGAGCCUGGCCCCAUCCAAGCUGCAGAGACCCUUGUGAUGACGCAUGGCUGAGUGCCAGCUGGAGUGGGAAGGGGGAAGUCCCUUCUGGACCCCUAAGAACAGAUGCUUGGGGACAGGGCAGCCCAGAUGUAGAUCCUCUGAGCGUGGCGGCCUUUUAUGGCUUGGUUCUGUCUCCUGGAGAGGCCAGGGAAUGCACCGAGCUCAGUUUGGGGUAUCUCUCAAGGGGUGAUGAGUGGAUUUGUGAACCAUCUCUCUCCCCCUCCUUUCAGUGGGUGUAUAACAUUCUCGACAAGAAGGCUGAAGCGGACCGGAUUGUUUUCGAGAACCCAGAUCCCUCUGAUGGUUUUGUCCUCAUCCCUGACCUCAAGUGGAACCAACAGCAGCUCGAUGACUUGUACUUGAUCGCCAUCUGCCAUCGCCGGGGCAUCAGAUCCCUACGCGACCUUACUCCGGAGCACCUGCCGCUGCUCAGGAACAUGCUCCACCAGGGGCAGGAGGCCAUCCUGCAGCGCUACCGGAUGAAGGGAGACCAUCUGCGAGUAUACCUGCACUACCUGCCCUCCUACUACCACCUGCAUGUGCACUUCACCGCCCUGGGCUUCGAGGCCCCCGGCUCAGGCGUGGAGCGGGCCCACCUGCUGGCUGAGGUGAUCGAGAACCUGGAGUGUGACCCUAGGCACUACCAGCAGCGCACACUCACCUUCGCCCUCAGGGCUGACGACCCCCUGCUCAAGCUCUUGCAGGAGGCUCAGCAAAGCUGAAUUAACUCAGGCAGAAGAGCACAGAUGUGUGGGAUUGGGGGAGGAGUGGGGACAAGAUUUUUUAUCUCCAAGUGAAUUUUCUAAAAAUGUAUUUUGUACUGGC